Humulus lupulus (European hop) is the source of this 755-nucleotide long non-coding RNA. RefSeq lists it as uncharacterized. NCBI's taxonomy places the organism in Eukaryota, Viridiplantae, Streptophyta, Magnoliopsida, Rosales, Cannabaceae. The record is from RefSeq and is a predicted model, not a curated record. The transcript is spliced from 3 exons.
CUUCUUUUCCAUUCUCUCUCCCCGAAACCCCUUCUUCUUCUUCUCCCUUUUUCUUUUUCUUUUCUUUCCUUUGUUUUCUCUCCAAACCAGUCACACCCACAACCAGUCGGACCACCGCCGGAGCGCCAUUUCCGACACGCGCCGGAGCUGCAGCUUCCCUAACCGGCGAUGACGGAAACCCCAAAGUUUGGUGACCAUCGGAGCAAGGACGCGCCUGUACAGCCACUCCGAAGUUUCGCCGUCGAAACUUUGAGGUGACUUUCCGGUGAACUCCGACCACCGUUCGGCGAGUGGGUGGUACCGUUGGAAUCAGCGUCGUGAGAGGAUCGUCGCCCACUAAGUCAUUCCGGUCAACUCAACAUUUUUCUCCAGCGAGAUUUUGGGUAUCUUCGCCCUUUGGAAGCAUUUUCCGGGGACACCGGAGGUCAUUUGGGCGAAGGAGCUGUACUUUCGUGAUGUACUCAUCGAGAUGAUCGUUUUGAUAUAUGCCAUGCAUAUAUUCGUUGACGUUUCCAGUACCGCCACCAACCGCUAUUGUGCACCGCUUGGGAAAAACGUGAUUUUAAAAUCGGACUAAAUCAUUCUAAGAUCAUCGAUAAGCUUAGGAGCAUCGCUUUGGGCUCAGAUUAAAUUCUAAAGAGUGUGAUGCAGGAAAUUAAAUAUGGAGGGCGGAAGGAUUCUUGGAAGCUUGGCAUGUGUGUUGAGGAUGAACAGACUGAGUGGAUUGUGUAUCGAUCGAGGAUGACGUUUAUUUU